CCUACGGGGGACAGCAGUGGGGAAUAUUGCGCAAUGGGCGAAAGCCUGACGCAGCGACGCCGCGUGAGGGAUGAAGGUCUUCGGAUCGUAAACCUCUGUCAGCAGGGAAGAACGGUCACUGUGCUAAUCAGCAGUGAAUUGACGGUACCUGCAAAGGAAGCACCGGCUAACUCCGUGCCCGCAGCCGCGGUAAUACGGAGGGUGCGAGCGUUAAUCGGAAGUACUGGGCGUAAAGCGCUCGUAGGAGGUAUGUCAAGUCAAGGGUGAAAUCCCCGCGCUCAACGUGGGAACUGCCUUUGAAACGGGCAAACUGGAGUGUGUGAGAGGAUAGUUGAAUUCCAGGUGUAGGAGUGAAAUCCGUAGAUAUCUGGAGGAACAUCAGUGGCGAAGGCGACUAUCUGGCACAUAACUGACGCUGAGGAGCGAAAGCGUGGGUAGCAAACAGGAUUAGAUACCCGUGUAGUC
RNAcentral lists this ribosomal RNA (465 nucleotides) under uncultured bacterium. RNAcentral describes it as "partial 16S ribosomal RNA". It matches the Rfam family "Bacterial small subunit ribosomal RNA", at positions 338 to 795 of the family's 1533-position model. The record is from RNAcentral.